GAGACUUGAUGGAGUUUUUUCAUGGGUUUUCAUGGAGUUGAUCUUAUUACAUCCACCAUUAUGCUGCAUUCUGUAGGGAACACAAAAUGAUUCCUCUCCUCAAUAAACCAGUCACCUAGUUGAAGAUAAAGGGUGUUCAGAAAAGAUUGUCCCAAAACAAUUAGGGGCUAGAUUCUGUGAUCCAUGUGAGAUGCCAAUGAUGUGAUUCUGGAAAGCAGAAGGUGAGGUUGUGAGAGGACCUGCAGCACACAAUGCCCAAGGCUAGGGUGGCGAGUAGAGGGCCCCUGGUCUGGAUCCGUCUACCCAGCUUCAUUCCUCCCAUUCUUGAAACAGUGGCUGCACCAGCCAGGAAGCAUCUGAGACCACCUGAUUCUCUGGAAUAAUAGCUGCUGAGGUUUGUGCUGUGAGCUAAAACACUGUGAGUGUCUAACUGUAACCAUUUAGAUUAGCACUAAUGAAAAUAAUUUUUAAGAUGGUGAAAAUGUCUAUAUUUAUGCUUUGCAAGUGUAGCCGUUAUAUGUCAUAUGUGACUCCUGAGCACUUGAAAUGUAGUGAAAACAACUAAGGAACUACACUGUUAAUUUUAAUUAAUUCCAAUAUACAUGUUUGUGGCUGAGUACUGCUAAUGUUGGCCAUGUGAGACAGGGAAGUUUUAGAUGGUAAUAAACAGCAAUGUCAUCAGGACAACCAAUCUGCUAAAUGUUAAGCAAAGAUGAUCCCAGGACCAUUGCACCAAGCUGGAGUGGACAAGGUGGAAAGAGCACAUACGUGGAUCUUUGGAACCCAGAUUCUUCUUCCUCCAGGUCGUAUGGUCACUUGGAGGCCUCCUUACCAAUCAGAUGCAUCCUCAGUACAACCCUAAGAUCUUCCCCGAUCAACAUAGAUGAGCAGCUUCAAUCUCCAGAUACUACAUACCAUUGGCUGAUUUUUAUAGUUGCCCAAUAAGAGGUCCUCCCAUGAGAUUUGGAAGUCAGAAAAGGAUGACUCAAUAUUCUCCAUUGGUACCUAAGGCAGACACAGGAACAGAGGAAAGCAACCAUCAGGCCUCCCAGAUACUAUCAAGGAGCUGAAACUUACAUAUCACUGAAUCAGGACAGUGAGACGUCAGACCCUUCACCCAUUGUGAUUGCCUAACUGACCUCCUGCUUCCUGUUGACCCAAUUAUCUUUCUUAACCCUCCCUAAUUCCUGUUUUCCCACAUUUCUUCCUUGUUAUAUAAACCCCGAAUUUCAGUUGGUCAGGGAGAUACAUUUGAGAACGGUGUCCCAUCUCCUCAGCUGCAGCACCUGAUUAAAGCCUGUUCCUUGGC
Long non-coding RNA from Pongo pygmaeus (Bornean orangutan), 1309 nucleotides. RefSeq lists it as uncharacterized. NCBI's taxonomy places the organism in Eukaryota, Metazoa, Chordata, Mammalia, Primates, Hominidae. The record is from RefSeq and is a predicted model, not a curated record. The transcript is spliced from 4 exons.